AUAUCAAUAAGCGGAGGAAAAGAAACUAACCAGGAUUCCCUCAGUAACGGCGAGUGAAGCGGGAAAAGCUCAGACGGAAAAUCUUCGGAAUUGUCGUCUGGAGAAGCGUGACGAAGUGCUGCUAGGGCGGGCCAAGUCCUCUGGAACGAGGCGCCAGGGAGGGUGAUAGCCCCGUUCAUGCCUGCCCGAAAAGCCGGAGUAGAUCCGCUUUCUACGAGUCGAGUUGUUUGGGAUUGCAGCUCUAAGUGGGUGGUAAAUUCCAUCUAAAGCUAAAUAUGGGUGGGAGACCGAUAGCGCACAAGUA
RNAcentral lists this ribosomal RNA (304 nucleotides) under uncultured eukaryote. Its description in RNAcentral is "partial large subunit ribosomal RNA". It matches the Rfam family "Eukaryotic large subunit ribosomal RNA", at positions 40 to 350 of the family's 3401-position model. The record is from RNAcentral.